GAUGAACGCUGGCGGCGUGCCUAAUACAUGCAAGUCGAGCGAACGGACGAGAAGCUUGCUUCUCUGAUGUUAGCGGCGGACGGGUGAGUAACACGUGGGUAACCAACCUAUAGGACUGGGAUAACUUCGGGAAACCGGAGCUAGUACCGGAUGAUAUUUUGAAAAGCAUGGUUCAAAAGGGAAAGACGUUCUUGCUGUCACUUAUAGAUGGUUCCGCGCUGCAUUAGCUAGUUGGUAAGGUAACGGCUUACCAAGGCAACGAUGCAUAGCCGACCUGAGAGGGUGAUCGGCCACACUGGAACUGAGACACGGUCCAGACUCCUACGGGAGGCAGCAGUAGGGAAUCUUCCGCAAUGGGCGAAAGCCUGACGGAGCAACGCCGCGUGAGUGAUGAAGGUCUUCGGAUCGUAAAACUCUGUUAUUAGGGAAGAACAUAUGUGUAAGUAACUGUGCACAUCUUGACGGUACCUAAUCAGAAAGCCACGGCUAACUACGUG
RNAcentral lists this ribosomal RNA (497 nucleotides) under uncultured bacterium. RNAcentral describes it as "partial 16S ribosomal RNA". It matches the Rfam family "Bacterial small subunit ribosomal RNA", at positions 28 to 507 of the family's 1533-position model. The record is from RNAcentral.